GAGGGAAGAGCUCAUCAUUGGAAUCUGGCAGUGUUGCACUGUCCGAGUUGUAGAUGAGGAGUAGUCCGUCUGGACUGCAUGGCGUCCAAGUACAAUAGGCCGUCAGUGGGACAUCAUAGAGGGUGACAAUCCCGUCCUUGACGCCAAUGUGCAAGUCUAUUACGAUGGCUAUCUCAGAGAGUCGAGCAGUUUGGGAUUUGCUGCUUAAACAUGGGAGGUAGAUUCCUUCUAAAGCUAAAUACAGGCGAGAGACCGAUAGAGAACAAGUACCGCAAGGGAAAGAUGAAAUAGCACUCUGUGAAGGGAGUCAAAAGGCGUGAAAUUGUUGCGAGAGAAGCGAUUCAAGUCAGCGUAGCUAGGCCCAUCAAGCGUCUUCGCUUUGGACUAGCUUUGCCAGCGGUCUUGUCCCUUGAAGAGACUUGACUUGUAAUAUGUCCAGCCUGGCGUGCACAGGCAGCCCCUUCUGGGGGCCAGUGGCAUGGCUGGUGGAAUGGCUUGCAAUCGACCCGUCUUGAAACACGGACCAAGGAGUCUAACAUGUAUGCGAGUAUAAGGGUGGCAAACCCGUAUGCGCAAUGAAAGUGAUUUUCGGUGAUUGAGAAUGGCCUGAUGACCAGACAAGCAAUAUAUGUCCCUCGUACGGCCAUUGCCCAAGUUCCGUGGUAGAUCCCACGAACAUGGAGUUGGAGCAUACAUGCUAGGACCCGAAAGAUGGUGAACUAUGCCUGGACAAAGCGAAGCCAAAGGAAACUCUGGUGGAGGCUUGUAGCGAUUCUGACGUGCAAAUCGAUCGUCUGAUCUGGGUAUAGGGGCGAAAGACUAAUCGAACCAUCUCAUAGCU
Molecule: ribosomal RNA, 841 nt
Filed under: Craterellus yunnanensis
Lineage: Eukaryota; Fungi; Basidiomycota; Agaricomycetes; Cantharellales; Hydnaceae
Description: LSU rRNA
Rfam family: Eukaryotic large subunit ribosomal RNA
Source: RNAcentral